RNAcentral lists this small RNA (556 nucleotides) under Pan troglodytes (chimpanzee). Its description in RNAcentral is "retained intron". The record is from RNAcentral. Lineage: Eukaryota; Metazoa; Chordata; Mammalia; Primates; Hominidae.
CAUUCCCUAGAGAUGGUCACUCAUUGCCUUGGUGAGUUUGUAGUUUAUCCCAGAGUAACAUUUAAAAUUGACUGAGCUUUUGAAAUAAAUCAGUAAGCUAUUACCCUAUUCUAGGUAGGCAAAGGCUUUAGUUUGGUACGUGAAAUAUAACAAGCUUAUUUGAAAAUGAGUGUUAAUUUGACUUCAGGAACCUGGGAUUUGCAUUUUCAUUUUGACUUAAAGAGGUGCCCUCUGGAGUUGCCCAGAGGGCAGGCAUUGCUAGGUUGCUUACCUUUUAAACUCUUCUUUUAGCCGUACUCUGACAGCUGUGCACGAUGCCAUCCUUGAGGACUUGGUCUUCCCAAGCGAAAUUGUGGGCAAGAGAAUCCGCGUCAAACUAGAUGGCAGCCGGCUCAUAAAGGUUCAUUUGGACAAAGCACAGCAGAACAAUGUGGAACACAAGGUUGAAACUUUUUCUGGUGUCUAUAAGAAGCUCACGGGCAAGGAUGUUAAUUUUGAAUUCCCAGAGUUUCAAUUGUAAACAAAAAUGACUAAAUAAAAAGUAUAUAUUCACAGU